CCCGUGGGUAACCCUCCCUUAAGACUGGGAUAACUCCGGGAAACCGGGGCUAAUACCGGAUGCUUGAUUGAACCGCAUGGUUCAAUUAUAAAAGGUGGCUUUCAGCUACCACUUGCAGAUGGACCCGCGGCGCAUUAGCUAGUUGGUGAGGUAACGGCUCACCAAGGCGACGAUGCGUAGCCGACCUGAGAGGGUGAUCGGCCACACUGGGACUGAGACACGGCCCAGACUCCUACGGGAGGCAGCAGUAGGGAAUCUUCCGCAAUGGACGAAAGUCUGACGGAGCAACGCCGCGUGAGUGAUGAAGGUUUUCGGAUCGUAAAACUCUGUUGUUAGGGAAGAACAAGUACCGUUCGAAUAGGGCGGUACCUUGACGGUACCUAACCAGAAAGCCACGGCUAACUACGUGCCAGCAGCCGCGGUAAUACGUAGGUGGCAAGCGUUGUCCGGAAUUAUUGGGCGUAAAGCGCGCGCAGGCGGUUUCUUAAGUCUGAUGUGAAAGCCCCCGGCUCAACCGGGGAGGGUCAUUGGAAACUGGGGAACUUGAGUGCAGAAGAGGAGAGUGGAAUUCCACGUGUAGCGGUGAAAUGCGUAGAGAUGUGGAGGAACACCAGUGGCGAAGGCGACUCUCUGGUCUGUAACUGACGCUGAGGCGCGAAAGCGUGGGGAGCGAACAGGAUUAGAUACCCUGGUAGUCCACGCCGUAAACGAUGAGUGCUAAGUGUUAGAGGGUUUCGCGCCCUUUAGUGCUGCUCAUCGACUCAGACGCAUUGAGAUCACUCCGCCUGGGGAGUACGGUCGCAAGACGUCCUAUUUUAG
This 819-nucleotide ribosomal RNA is filed under the name Bacillus licheniformis. RNAcentral describes it as "bacterial SSU rRNA". It matches the Rfam family "Bacterial small subunit ribosomal RNA", at positions 114 to 905 of the family's 1533-position model. Lineage: Bacteria; Bacillati; Bacillota; Bacilli; Caryophanales; Bacillaceae. The record is from RNAcentral.